GUGAAUGUGAAGCUUAGUACUCAGUUUUUGGAGAAGGUGAGUAUGAUGGUGGUGGUGGAGAACUGUAGACAUAUGGUGGUGGAGGAGAUUUGUAGUCAACCUUAGGGGAAGGUGAGUAGUAUGGUGGUGGAGGAGAUUUGUAGUCAACCUUAGGGGAAGGUGAGUAGUAUGGUGGUGGUGGUGAACUAUAGACGUAUGGUGGUGGUGGAGAUUUGUAAUCUACCUUAGGGGCAGGUGAGUAGUAUGGUGGUGGGGGUGAGCUGUAGACAUACGGUGGUGGGGGAGAUUUGUAGUCUACCUUCGGGGAAGGUGAGUAGUAUGGUGGUGGUGGUGAGCUAUAGACGUACGGUGGUGGAGGAGAUUUGUAGUCUACUUUAGGGGAAGGUGAGUAGUAUGGUGGUGGUGGUGAGCUGUAGACGUACGGUGGUGGGGGAGAUUUGUAGUCUACCUUAGGGGAAGGUGAGUAGUAUGGUGGUGGUGGUGAGCUGUAGACGUACGGUGGUGGGGGAGACUUGUAAACUACUUUAGGAGAAGGAGAGUAGUAUGGUGGUGGUGGUGAGCUGUAGACGUACGGUGGUGGGGGAGACUUGUAGACUACCUUAGGAGAAGGAGAGUAGUAUGGUGGUGGUGGAGAACUGUAGACAUACGGUGGUGGAGGAGACUUGUAGACUACCUUAGGAGAAGGAGAAUAAUAUGGUGGUGGUGGAGAACUGUAAACGUAUGGUGGUGGGGGAGACUUGUAGACUACCUUAGGAGAAGGAGAGUAGUAUGGUGGUGGUGGAGAACUGUAGACAUACGGUGGUGGGGGAGACUUGUAGACUACCUUAGGAGAAGGAGAAUAGUAUGGAGGUGGUGGAGAACUGUAAACAUACGGUGGUGGGGGAGACUUGUAGACUACCUUAGGAGAAGGAGAGUAGUAUGGUGGUGGUGGAGAACUAUAGACAUACGGUGGUGGGGGAGACUUGUAGUGUACCUUAGGGGAAGGAGAGUAAUAUGGUGGUGGUGGAGAACUGUAGACAUACGGUGGUGGGGGAGACUUGUAGUGUACCUUAGGAGAAGGAGAGUGAUAUGGUGGUGGUGGAGAACUGUAAACGUACGGUGGUGGGGAGGACUUGUACACAACCUUUGGAGAUGGAGAAUAACAUGGAGGAGGUGGUGGACAGACACAUACAUGAGGGUGUGGUGGAGAUUUGUAUAGAACCUUAGGGGAUGGUGCGUGGUAUGGUGAUGGAGGAGACUUGUAGUAUACUUUAGGAGAAGGGGAGUAGUAUGGUGGUGGUGGAGAACUGUAAACGUAUGGUGGUGGGGGAGACUUGUAGACUACCUUAGGAGAAGGAGAGUAGUAUGGUGGUGGUGGAGAACUGUAGACAUACGGUGGUGGGGGAGACUUGUAGACUACCUUAGGAGAAGGAGAGUAGUAUGGAGGUGGUGGAGAACUGUAAACAUACGGUGGUGGGGGAGACUUGUAGACUACCUUAGGAGAAGGAGAGUAGUAUGGUGGUGGUGGAGAACUGUAGACAUACGGUGGUGGGGGAGACUUGUAUAAAACCUUUGGUGAAGGAGAGUAGUACGGUGGUGGUGGAGAACUGUAAACAUAUGGUGGUGGAGGAGACUUGUAGUCUACCUUAGGGGAUGGUGAAUAGUAUGGUGGUGGAGGAGAACUGUAAACAUAUGGUGGAGGAGGAGAUUUGUAUACAACCUUUGGAGAUGGCGAGUAGUAUGGUGGUGGAGGAGAACUGUAAACAUAUGGUGGAGGAGGAGAUUUGUAGUCUACCUUAGGGGAUGGUGAGUAGUAUGGUGGUGGUGGGGAACUGUAAACAUAUGGUGGAGGAGGAGACUUGUAUACAACCUUUGGUGAAGGUGUGUAGUAUGGGGGUGGUGGGGAGCUGUAGACGUACGGUGGUGGGGGAGAUUUGUAGACUAUCUUAGGAGAAGGUGAGUAGUAUGGUGGUGGUGGUGAGCUGUAGACGUAUGGUGGUGGUGGAGACUUGUAGUCUACCUUAGGUGAUGGUGAGUAGUAUGGUGGUGGUGGAGAACUGUAAACAUAUGGUGGAGGAGGAGAUUUGUAGUCUACCUUCGGGGUUGGUGAGUAGUAUGGUGGUGGUGGGGAACUGUAAACAUAUGGUGGAGGAGGAGACUUGUAUACAACCUUAGGGGAUGGAGAGUAGUAUGGUGGUGGUGGAGAACUGUAGACAUACGGUGGUGGGGGAGAUUUGUAGUCUACCUUAGGGGAAGGUGAGUAGUAUGGGGGUGGUGGGGAGCUGUAGACGUACGGUGGUGGGGGAGAUUUGUAGACUAUCUUAGGAGAAGGUGAGUAGUAUGGUGGUGGUGGUGAGCUGUAGACGUAUGGUGGUGGUGGAGACUUGUAGUCUACCUUAGGUGAUGGUGAGUAGUAUGGUGGUGGUGGAGAACUGUAAACAUAUGGUGGAGGAGGAGACUUGUAUACAACCUUAGGGGAUGGAGAGUAAUAUGGUGGUGGUGGAGAACUAUAAACAUAUGGUGGUGGAGGAGAUUUGUAAUCUACCUUAGGGGAUGGUGAAUAAUAUGAUGGUGGUGGAGAGUUGUAAACAUACGGUGAUGGUGGAGAUUUGUACUCCACCUUAGGGGAUGGCGAAUAGUAUGGUGGUGGUGGGGAACUGUAAACAUAUGGUGGUGGAGGAGAUUUGUAGUCUACCUUAGGAGAUGGUGAAUAGAUUGGUGGUGGUGGCGAACUGUAAACAUAUGGUGGUGGAGGAGACUUGUAGUCUACCUUUGGGGAUGGAGAGUAAUAUGGUGGUGGUGGAGAGUUGUAGACAUAUGGUGGUGGAGGAGACUUGUACUCAACUUUAGGAGAUGGUGAAUAGUAUGGUGGUGGUGGAGAUUUAUAAUCAACUUUAGGCGCUGGAGAGUAUUCUAGUGGUGGUGGUGGAGAACUGUAAACAUCUGGUAAUGGAGGAGAUUUGUAUUCCACUUUGGGAAGUGGCACAGAGUAUGGUGGAGGUGAGCUAUCUGUGUAUGGCUCAUAUGCCG
Molecule: long non-coding RNA, 3009 nt
Filed under: Arabidopsis thaliana (thale cress)
Lineage: Eukaryota; Viridiplantae; Streptophyta; Magnoliopsida; Brassicales; Brassicaceae
Description: long non-coding RNA (ATHA_LNC000136)
Source: RNAcentral